This 273-nucleotide ribosomal RNA is filed under the name uncultured bacterium. RNAcentral's name for it is "partial 16S ribosomal RNA". It matches the Rfam family "Bacterial small subunit ribosomal RNA", at positions 524 to 796 of the family's 1533-position model. The record is from RNAcentral.
UACGGGGGGUGCAAGCGUUAAUCGGAAUUACUGGGCGUAAAGCGCGCGUAGGCGGUUUGCUCAGUCGGAUGUGAAAGCCCAGGGCUCAACCUUGGAACUGCAUACGAUACUGGCAAACUAGAGUGUGAGAGAGGAUAGUGGAAUUUCCGGUGUAGCGGUGAAAUGCGUAGAUAUCGGAAGGAACAUCAGUGGCGAAGGCGACUGUCUGGCUCAACACUGACGCUGAGGUGCGAAAGCGUGGGUAGCAAACAGGAUUAGAAACCCGUGUAGUCC